UCAAACUAAUCAAUAUAUAAUCUUGUCAUUUCAACGUCUUUAUAGCAAUAUAACAUAAACGGUGAUAAAACAAAAAACUAUCGGUGGAAUUCUAGAUCCGCAUCAAUAUCUAAUUAAAAAGAGUAAAACAACAUAUCGAAAGGGAGGUGUUUAAAUUUACACAAACUUAAAAAUUUUGUUUUGUUUUUUUCGUUUCCCUGAACAUAGAUAUUUGCCAAAACAUAAUUUUCAAAACUUUUAAAAAACAAAUAUGACCUUUUGUUUUUAUGAAACGGUGCCAACACAUGGUUUAUUUUUUAAUCUAAAUUCUUGAUGGUUUUUGUUUAUUUAUUUUUUAUUUUCGAUGUCAAUACAACGGUUAAUCCAGUGCUUUUCAGUUUUCAUGUACAUACAUGGAAUAGAGAGACAUGAUCCAAAAGCCCAUACCCUAAAGAUGCCAUUGUUUCUGUUUCUUUCUGGGGUUUCAUAAUUUUAUCAUAAUUAACACACCAAAUUCCAAAUAACAAUCAAGGUGAUUCAAUUCAAUCACCACGACCUACAAUCUCAAUCCAAAAUCUUCAAACAAACGAUGUCUCGCCGGAGAGAUGACUACGACUACGACAUGGUGGACCAACAUCAGGAACGAUGACGAUUACAACAGCGGCGGUAUUGAGGAUGUUGCCGAGGAAGAUGAGGAUGGAGAAGAGGAUUAUGAUGAAGAUGAUGAGUGUAUAUUAUAAAAAGACGCCAUUGUUCCUGUUUAGUUUGGUUUCAGAAAUGAAACCCUACAGAGAAGGUGAUGAUGAUUGAUGACGGAAAGGAUUCACACAGUCGGGUGUAUAAAAAUGGCGGUGGAGAUGUUUGAUUGAAUGGGGAAAGGGUGUACCGCUCGGUUUGUAGAGAGAAACUAUGUACUGGUUCGGAUGGGAUGCGUAGCAAAUUAUAUUUUAUUUGGUUGCUUAUUGCAUACUUUUGUAGAGUGCUUUUUGGCGAUCAAGAAUUUUGUCAAUUAUCAAUCGUAUUUCGAAGUUCAUUUAUUUUUUUAAUUAAAGGGAUAUGUCUCUUAAACAAAACAAAAGAGUAUCUGUGUUAAACAAAGAGGCAUGUUUUAAACAAACAGACAUGUGUAUUAAACAAAAGGGUAUGUGUUAAUCAAAUGGAUAUGUGUGUUAAACAAA
Helianthus annuus (common sunflower) is the source of this 1157-nucleotide long non-coding RNA. RefSeq lists it as uncharacterized. The transcript has 2 exons. The record is from RefSeq and is a predicted model, not a curated record. Lineage: Eukaryota; Viridiplantae; Streptophyta; Magnoliopsida; Asterales; Asteraceae.